GUCGUCGUGGCGGAGUGGUUAAGGCGACAGACUAGAAAUCUGUUGGGCUCUGCCCGCACAGGUUCGAAUCCUGUCGGCGACG
Non-coding RNA from Ciona savignyi (Pacific transparent sea squirt), 82 nucleotides. The record is from Rfam. Lineage: Eukaryota; Metazoa; Chordata; Ascidiacea; Phlebobranchia; Cionidae.